CAGUAGCGUAUAUUAAUGUUGUUGCAGUUAAAAAGCUCGUAGUUGAAUUUCUGGUUGGAGUGACCGGUCCGAGCCCUCGGGUUCGUGUACUUGUGUUUUUUUUUUUAUCUCCGACCAUCCUUACGGUGAGUGCGUCGUGGCGUUGAUUCGUCGUGCGUAGGACCCGUAACAUUUACUGUGAAAAAAUUAGAGUGUUUAAAGCAGGCAAUUGCUGUGAAUACAUUAGCAUGGAAUAAUAAGAUAGGACUUUGGUGUUAUUUUGUUGGUUUGCACGCCAGGUAAUGAUGAAUAGGAACAGUUGGGGGUAUUCGUAUUUAAAUGUCAGAGGUGAAAUUCUAGGAUCUUUUAAAGACGAACUACUGCGAAAGCAUUUACCAAAGAUGUUUNCAUUAA
Molecule: ribosomal RNA, 393 nt
Filed under: uncultured eukaryote
Lineage: Eukaryota
Description: partial 18S ribosomal RNA
Rfam family: Eukaryotic small subunit ribosomal RNA
Source: RNAcentral